Long non-coding RNA from Onychostoma macrolepis, 1525 nucleotides. RefSeq lists it as uncharacterized. The record is from RefSeq and is a predicted model, not a curated record. Lineage: Eukaryota; Metazoa; Chordata; Actinopteri; Cypriniformes; Cyprinidae. The transcript has 6 exons.
UUAUGGCGUGAUAAAAAGAGAAAUCCAAAAUCCCCUCUGUAAAAACCUUUUACUCAAAUAUGUCAACAAAAUCAAACAAGAACUAUCAACCUGACUUUAUCCAAUGAUCAGAUUUAUGAUCCUGAAAUGAAUGCAGAUUAGUGCAGAUUUAAUGCCUCGUUUUCAUAUUUAAACAUUACAUUUCAGAAAUUUUGUAAUGCAAAACAAUUGUACUGUGAUUAAUCAGCUGAUGAGAGUUUGAUGCUGUCUAGUAGUUAAAUUUUCAUCCUAUUCACCUGUAGUGUCUUGCCUUAAAAUCAUUUUCCAAGUUCUCUGUAAGUUAUACAGUAUUUGGAUAUGGACUCAGUGUCCUGAUUCAACACACCAUGACAAAAAUGCUUUGUGUUGAUGUUUUUACCCCAUAUCUGGAGACUAGAUCUCUCACAGAAAGGAGCCGGCGAUAUCUGACAGCUUUCACACAUGAAAUAUCUUGUGUUUUCAGAGUCCGUUUGAUAAGACAGAGAAAAGCUGAUUUUGUGUCCAGUUCUUCAUGCUACUAGGUCGGCCAAAGCCAGGCCAGGUUUGACAUCACGAAAGAACCAGCGAUGUUCGACAGUCGACGUUGCUGAGACACGUCUCGAAUUGAACCUGCAUCAUCAGACCGCUGUGUUUUAUCACACUGAACUCGGUGCUGACGUCUGCUGUGAAAUCACGUUUCCACGAGCUGCUCCGUCAUGAUGAGGAAUAAAGACUCUCAGAAGAACGAAUCUGGGUUUGGAAGGACGUGAGGGUGAAUAAACGAUGACAGGACGAUCAUUUAAGGCUGAAUUUCCUUUAGCGCAGUAAUGAAGGAAUGUGGAGCGUGAUGAAAUCCUGCAGUCAGAUGGUUGGAGGUGUUGGACGAAGGCCAUCAGUGCGUCUCUAACACACUCAUGUGCUGCUGCUGCUGCUGUGGUUCUGAAGGAAACUCUGAUGAUCUGAGAUUCAGUGAGUCAUGUGAGCCGACGGGAAUCCAGCAGCGCAGAAACAUUACAACACUUGAAUGACAGAAACACAGGGAUUUUUAAGAUUUUUUUAACGUUUGCAUGUGAAAAGAGAGUGAUUUGGUGCUGGAGGUUUCAUCAUCACUAUCAGAACUAGUACUAGUGAUGAUUAACCUGGCAAAGACUGCUAAGUAACGCUCACUGAUGCUGUAAAACAUGAAGAUGGAAACAAAGCCUCAUUUCAGAGCCGUGUGUGUGUAGUUUCACUAGUGAACACUAGAGGCAUCAGUGUCACGUGGUGAACUGUAAUGACUGCCAUAUGAGCCUGUUAAACUUUCCAUCACACACACACACACACACACACACACACACACACACACACACUCUCGGGUCGCUCCAGGAGAGAGAGAUCGACCCACAUUCUGGUUCUGUUCGGCUCAAGCUGCUGUUUAUUUGCUCUGAACAUUUUAAUAACGAGUUUCUCUCUCUGUACAACACAAAUCCAAAACCCAUAAAACUCCUCUGAACGUGUGUGUGUGUGUUUAAGAUACACGUGGCCUUCA